Lytechinus pictus (painted urchin) is the source of this 588-nucleotide long non-coding RNA. RefSeq lists it as uncharacterized. The transcript is spliced from 2 exons. The record is from RefSeq and is a predicted model, not a curated record. Lineage: Eukaryota; Metazoa; Echinodermata; Echinoidea; Temnopleuroida; Toxopneustidae.
ACACAGUCAAUGCAUAGCUUAUUCAGCAUGUGUAUUUCUAGAUUCUGGUGUGUAUCUCCAUCCACCUUGCAUUUUCUGAUGGUUUUUGCCGCUCUAUCUCUCUCCCUCAUUCUCUCCUUCUCUUGAUCCUUCUCGUCAUCAUCUCCCACUGGUGGUGAGCGUACCGUGGUACGUAGAAAUCGGUAACGACCUCCUCAUGGCUCGUGCCAUAUGCCCCGGCUGUUGAUGGAGGUAUCGCGUUGAUUGUUUGGCUCUAACUACGUCGUCUGGGGUCGUUUGUUGGCAGUUCUCAUUCUUAGAUAUCUUAAAUCAUUACAGACUUGAGAAAGGUUGAGUUUUGUAAUAUAGUUGGUCUCUCUCAUUCCUAUUCAUAGUGGAUGUUGCAUUGGAUUUAUACAUUCAUUUAUGUAAUAUUGUUUGGAUUGUACACUGUGAUGAAGUAGCAUUGUCCUUCAACUGGCAAAAAUGCUAUUGAUCUGAUGUAGGAGGAAGAGGAGAGAAGGGAUCACCAUGCUGAUCAAGGAGUAUCGAAUCCCUCUACCAUUGAGUGUAGAAGAGUAUAGGAUUGCUCAGCUCUAUAUGAUACAG